This 320-nucleotide ribosomal RNA is filed under the name uncultured eukaryote. RNAcentral's name for it is "partial 18S ribosomal RNA". It matches the Rfam family "Eukaryotic small subunit ribosomal RNA", at positions 1470 to 1796 of the family's 1831-position model. The record is from RNAcentral.
CCCUUAGACGUUCUGGGCCGCACGCGCGCUACACUGACCAGUGCAACAAGUCUUAACCUUGGCCGAUAGGUCUGGGUAAUCUUUGAACGCUGUUCGUGAUUGGGAUAGACCUUUGCAAUUAUGGGUCUUCAACGAGGAAUUCCUAGUAAACGCAAGUCAUCAGCUUGCAUUGAUUACGUCCCUGCCCUUUGUACACACCGCCCGUCGCACCUACCGAUUGAAUGGUCCGGUGAAAUCUCGGGACGGCGGCUUGGUCGCUUGCGUCCGACUGCUGAAACUUGAUUAAACCAUAUCAUUUAGAGGAAGGUGAAGUCGUAACA